UUUCUACUGUCGUCAGUUGCUGAUGAAAUGGUUGACAAAAGAUCGGCACAUGUCUUCAAAGGAAUGAAUGGAUGUCAGCCUCAAACUCGAGUACCAUUAUCGAGCGGCUCCCUUAAGGGUUAGAGGGAAUGCUCGACAGAGGAUUGCAUCUGAUGCUUUCUGAAGAAGCAUCGUUGUCUUGAAGGUCUCCACAUGAUCGACGGGGUCGGUAGUCCCAUCGUAGACCUCCAACUGAGACAGUUUGAAGUACAGGGGAACGGUUCCUUCACAAUCCUUAGGAUGAAGAGUGACUGACUGUUAUACCUUUCAUAGGGCAGCACCGAGGAGCCAUUAUUGUUUAGAGCUUUUUCUAUUUUCUGGCCCAACUGUUGGUCGAGCUGCUAGAAUCGCUUUUCAAAAUCAACUUUACGGAUGGUACCAGCCUCGAAGAUCAGAGGAGAUCGACGUCCGGAUGUUGAGUCAUGGCCCCAUUGUGGGCUUGAAGAUUGCCACCUGACUGGCUGCUGGGCUCUAGGGUGAUUUUGAUGAGUCAACAUCCUCUCCAAACUUCGAGGAGGUGAUUGCGGCUCUAGUUGAGGUGGCGAUUGUGGAGCCACAGUCGAAGCAGGGUUUUGCAGAGGCACCGUUGCGGAUGGCACAAGCAGUACUAUCGAGAGAAUCGUAUGACGUACCGUUGUGGGGGGUGCAGGGACAGUCUGGAGAGACUGUGGUGUCACUUGAAAGGGUGCGAGAAAGGUCUAGACUGCCUGGAUUGCGGUCAUCAAAUGUUAAACUUGUUAGGAGAGCUAACCGAAUUGGUCAGUCAUGACUGGCCUCGGGAGGACCGGUUGAAACAAUGGAGGAAUUUUCGAUGCCAUCGAUUGAACUUGAUUAUCGGCCUGACAGACCAUCUGUUGAGAAGUGACGGCA
This 909-nucleotide long non-coding RNA is filed under the name Elaeis guineensis (African oil palm). RNAcentral describes it as "long non-coding RNA (EGUI_LNC030279)". Lineage: Eukaryota; Viridiplantae; Streptophyta; Magnoliopsida; Arecales; Arecaceae. The record is from RNAcentral.